AGAGUUUGAUCAUGGCUCAGGAUGAACGCCGGCGGUGUGCCUAAUACAUGCAAGUCGUACGCACUGGCCCAACUGAUUGAUGGUGCUUGCACCUGAUUGACGAUGGAUUACCAGUGAGUGGCGGACGGGUGAGUAACACGUAGGUAACCUGCCCCGG
RNAcentral lists this ribosomal RNA (157 nucleotides) under uncultured bacterium. Its description in RNAcentral is "partial 16S ribosomal RNA". It matches the Rfam family "Bacterial small subunit ribosomal RNA", at positions 8 to 134 of the family's 1533-position model. The record is from RNAcentral.